UACGGAAGGCAGCAGUGGGGAAUAUUGCACAAUGGGCGAAAGCCUGAUGCAGCUAUGCCGCGUGUAUGAAGAAGGCCUUAGGGUUGUAAAGUACUUUCAUCGGGGAGGAAAAACAAAACUAAUAAUUUUAUUUCUUGACGUUACCCGAAAAAGAAGCACCGGCUAACUCCGUGCCAGCAGCCGCGGUAAUACGGAGGGUGCUAGCGUUAAUCAGAAUUACUGGGCGUAAAGAGCACGUAGGUGGUUUUUUUAAGUCAGAUGUGAAAUCCCUGGGCUUAACCUGGAACUGCAUUUUGAAACUGAAAUACUAGAGUAUCGUAGAGGGAGGUAGAAUUCUAGGUGUAGCGGUGAAAUGCGUAGAUAUCUGGAGGAAUACCUGUGGCGAAAGCGGCCUCCUAAACGAAUACUGACACUGAGGUGCGAAAGCGUGGGGAGCGAAAACAGGGAUUAGAUACCCGU
Molecule: ribosomal RNA, 459 nt
Filed under: uncultured bacterium
Lineage: Bacteria
Description: bacterial SSU rRNA
Rfam family: Bacterial small subunit ribosomal RNA
Source: RNAcentral